CUGCCCCACGGCGAGGUGGUGCUGGCCUUCGAUGCCGAGCGAUUCCGGAGGGAGGUUCGGGAGCACCGGGAAGGGGCCCCACGGCCGGAGGCGAGCGUGAGCCUGGAGCUGGGAGAGGACCCCGGAGCAGGGAUCUGCAUCCAGCUGACCCAGGCCUUCGCCCAGCCCCUCCUGGACCAGCCCCAUUGACCCCGCCCCCUCGCUCCUCAUUGGCCGAC
This is a long non-coding RNA of Pezoporus occidentalis (night parrot), 218 nucleotides long. RefSeq lists it as uncharacterized. Lineage: Eukaryota; Metazoa; Chordata; Aves; Psittaciformes; Psittacidae. The record is from RefSeq and is a predicted model, not a curated record. The transcript is spliced from 3 exons.